GAAAACAAGGACACAUAAGAAAUACACUCUAUAGACUGAAUAAGGACAAAGCAGCCUCAGAGGUCACAAAUCACUGGGGCAUCAGGAGAGUCUUCCCUGCGUGGGGAGCACCUGACCUGUGCUCUAAGGGAAGCCAACAAAUGAUUUUCUGAGGGAGAGGUGAAGAAGAAGAGCCCUUCAGGCUUGGAGAGCUUAGACCACAGCCCAGAAGCCAGGGACAGAAUGUGAAGUUGAGACAACAGCAAACAGGCCAACUUUGCCAGAACACAAAGUACAUGAAAAGAGAUUAAAUUGAAAAUUGAUAAAUUUAGAAAAGAAAGCUCAAAGGCAGAUUAUAAAGGGCUUUCCUUACACAACCAUGGGCAGGUCACCUUCUUUGAGCCUCAGAUUCAUUAUUUGUGAAUUGGGGAUAAUAUUUGUACUAUCUGCCUUACAGAGUUAAAGUUAGGAAAGUACUUACAAAUAUUAAAUCAUCAGAGUAUGACUGAUGGUUCAGGACCCCCCGCCCAAGAACUUUAGAUUCACUAGAACCAAGUUCAGUCCUCUUUGUGGCUCUUAUUUCUACCCCCCAGGAACUCCUAGAAUAUGUAAUAUGUAAAACUUGGGUAUGGCUCAUUCACAAGGCAACUAGUUGGCUCAGUAGAUAGAGAAUUGGUACUGGUGUCAGGAAGCCCUGAGUUCAGAACUAGACUCAGACAUUUACUAGCUGUGCCAUCCUGGGCAAGUCUAUUAACCUCUGUUUAACUAAUCCACUGGAAAGGAAAAUUGCAAUCCACUCCACUUUCUCUGCCAAGAAAAAUCCAUGUGGAGUCACAAAGAGUAGGGUAUGACUGAAUGACUCAAUAACACCACCAACAAGUGGCUGGUGUCCAAAAGGAGACAAGUACCCCUCAAAUAAGUAACAACCAAGAUGGAUAUCUUUGGCUCAAGAGCAUGACAGGUCAGGAGCAGAUUGGGGACCUCAACUGGUGACAAUGCCACAUCAAGAAGUACUUCCUGAAGGUUCUACAGCUUUCCUUGGAGAAGACGACAAACAAAAAGAGGAAGAGCCCAGCUUGCAGGGACAGUGCUUCCCACCUGCAGCUCCUAGAGGUGCUGAAGGCCUGGGAGUGGGUCUCCUAAGAGGAUGCCCCUCCCUAGGCCUGGCUGCCUGACAGUGGAAGAGGAUGAAACUCGCCACAUACUUCUGGGCUGUUAUCUGAUCACCCUCUUCAAAUAUCUGAAGGGCUGUCUUUGAAGAAAGGAGAUGAGACUUGUUCUGGUUGGCCCUGGAGGGCAGAAGGAAGACCAACUUAAAGAAAUUACAGGAAGGCAGAUGGAUUUCAACUCAAUAUAUGGAAAAUCUUUCUAACAAUCAGAACUGUCCAAUCAUGGAGCUAGAUGUUUCAACAGAUACGUUAGAGAAUUCCCACUUAAGGGAGAAAGGUGUUAGAAUUUAGGGGACCCCACUUCCAUUAUAAAAAGAGAGAGAGAGAGAGA
RNAcentral lists this long non-coding RNA (1479 nucleotides) under Monodelphis domestica (gray short-tailed opossum). Its description in RNAcentral is "lncRNA (ENSMODG00000048288.1)". The record is from RNAcentral. Lineage: Eukaryota; Metazoa; Chordata; Mammalia; Didelphimorphia; Didelphidae.